Molecule: ribosomal RNA, 253 nt
Filed under: uncultured bacterium
Lineage: Bacteria
Description: partial 16S ribosomal RNA
Rfam family: Bacterial small subunit ribosomal RNA
Source: RNAcentral
UACGAGGGGGGCAAGCGUUGUUCGGAAUUAUUGGGCGUAAAGCGUGCGCAGGCGGUGAUGUAAGACCGAUGUGAAAUCCCCGGGCUUAACCUGGGAACUGCAUUGGUGACUGCAUCGCUCGAGUAUGGCAGAGGGGGGUAGAAUUCCACGUGUAGCAGUGAAAUGCGUAGAGAUGUGGAGGAAUACCGAUGGCGAAGGCAGCCCCCUGGGUCAAUACUGACGCUCAUGCACGAAAGCGUGGGGAGCAAACAGG